Molecule: RNA transcript, 7310 nt
Organism: Epinephelus moara (kelp grouper)
Lineage: Eukaryota; Metazoa; Chordata; Actinopteri; Perciformes; Serranidae
Gene: rhot1a
Gene name: ras homolog family member T1a
Exons: 21
Source: RefSeq, a predicted model, not a curated record
CGGGUGCUGGAGGUCGGGCAUGCCCAUGAAACACCCACUGCGAAAUGCUAUGCAACCGCCUAAAAGAGUGUGAUUAACAUUAAAUAACAGCGACAUGUGCCUCAAACUACUCUUUAAAUUGCUCUCGCUCACGAGCUGAUUAGUCACGAGUUGAAUAGAAGCGCGUGGGAAACACCGAGGAGCUCCGAAAACUGUCCGUCCGUUUUGUCCUACAAAGGCGCCGAGAGUUUGACAGCGGCAGGACCUCAGUGCGCAGGCCUGACGUUAGGUAAACUGCCGGAGGAGGACGGCAUCCAAAAGGACUCCAUGAGACAAUAAAGUCUGUCCUUUCUGCAGAGGGAAGCGAGUGAAAACAUGAGGAAGGACGUGAGGAUACUGCUUGUGGGGGAACCCAAGGUGGGGAAGACAUCACUGAUAAUGUCUCUGGUCAGUGAGGAGUUUCCUGAUGAGGUUCCUCUCCGAGCUGAAGAGAUCACCAUCCCAGCUGAUGUCACCCCGGAGAGGGUGCCCACACACAUCGUUGACUACUCAGAGGCAGAACAGUCAGAUGAGCAGCUGUACCAAGAAAUAUCAAAGGCAAAUGUUAUCUGCAUAGUUUAUUCAGUCAACAACAAGAAGUCCAUUGAAAAGGUGACGAGCCACUGGAUUCCUCUCAUCAAUGACAGAACGGACAAAGAUAGCAGGGUGCCAUUGAUCCUUGUGGGCAACAAGUCGGACCUGGUGGAACACAGCAGCAUGGAGACCAUCCUGCCAAUCAUGAAUCAAUACCAGGAUAUUGAGACUUGUGUGGAGUGCUCUGCCAAAAACCUGAAGAACAUCUCUGAGUUGUUCUACUACGCCCAGAAGGCUGUUCUCCACCCAACAGGACCCCUGUACUGCCCAGAGGAGAAGGAGCUGAAGCCCUCCUGCAUUAAGGCUUUAACUAGAAUCUUUAAAGUGUCUGACCUGGACAACGACGGCAUCCUUAAUGACAACGAGCUCAACUUCUUUCAGAGAACGUGUUUCAAUACACCGCUGGCGCCUCAGGCCUUAGAGGAUGUAAAGAAUGUUGUCAGGAGGAACAUGACCGAUGGAGUCAAGGACAACGGACUCACACUCAAAGGCUUCUUGUUCCUGCACACCCUCUUCAUACAGCGAGGCAGACAUGAGACCACCUGGACUGUGCUGAGGAGGUUCGGAUAUGACGAUGACCUGGAGCUCACACAGGAAUACCUGUUCCCCAUGAUAAAGAUCCCCCCAGACUGCACCACAGAGCUUAACCACAACGCAUACCUCUUCCUCCAGAGUGUCUUUGACAAACACGACAAAGACAGAGACUGUGCACUGUCGCCAGAGGAGGUGAAGGACUUGUUCAAAGUGUUUCCCUACAUGCCCUGGGGUCCGGAUGUGAACCACACGGUCUGUACCAACGAACAGGGAUGGAUCACAUACCAGGGCUACCUCUCCCAGUGGACGUUAACAACUUAUUUAGAUGUACAGCGUAGUUUGGAGUACUUAGGUUACCUUGGCUACUCUAUCAUCUAUGAACAGGAGUCCCAAGCUGCUGCCAUCACAGUGACACGGAACAAGCGCAUCGAUCUUCAGAAGAAACAGACCCAGCGCAGCGUCUUCCGCUGCAACGUCUUGGGGGCCCGGGGCAGCGGGAAGAGCGGCUUUCUUCAAGCUUUCCUGGGCAAGAACCUGCAGAAACAGAGGCGGAUCAGAGAAGACCACAAGUCCUUCUACGCCAUCAGCACGACCUAUGUUUAUGGUCAGGAGAAGUACCUGCUGCUCCAUGAGGUGAUGCCAGAUUUUGACUUCCUGUCAGAGGCGGAUCUAGCCUGUGACGUGGUCUGCCUGGUGUACGACGUCAACAACCCACGCUCUUUUGAAUACUGCGCCAAAGUGUACAAGCAAUACUUCAUAGAUAGCAAGACGCCAUGUGUGGUCAUCGCCGGCAAGUCGGACCUCCACGAAGUACGGCAGCACUACAGCCUCUCACCGCACGAGUUCUGCCGUAAACACAAGCUCCACCCGCCCCAGCCGUUCACAUGCAGUACGGUCGAGGCACCCAACAAAGACAUCUACACUAGACUCACCACCAUGGCCAUGUACCCCUCCAGCCAGCCCACCUGCUCUCUGUACAGUUUGACACAGCGAAGUGUGACCACGCUGUGCCAGCUAACACACAGGCUGCGAGCCAGGUGUUCAUACACAUGUUUUUGGCUGCCCCUCUUCCUCCUCCUCUUGCACGUGUUCACCCUCUGCUAAUCUUUCUGCUGUUAUGUUGCAUGGCUCACCUGUUCUCUACCUCUCUGGAUAACCAAAGACAUGCCUCGGUCCUGAGCUGGGAAGAGGUGUCUCAUCUGUACAUGUCGACAGUGAAGAGAGCUUGGUGUUUUGAAUAAGAUGGGGAAGGGGGUUUAGUGAAUGCAGGAUUUAAAUGGCUGUGGAUGGUGUUGGACUCGGCAGAGGUGUGUUGUUGUGUGUUUGCAGAUUUUUUCUAUAUUAGCCCAACGAAAUGUAGGGCUUCUGGUUGGGCGUUCAUGGACCUAGGCAGAGCCACAUACUGUAACGUUGCAUCUAGCAUUAACCCUUUGUCUUGAUACGUUUUUAAUCUCUGGGAGUUGCUGACACUAUUAAUAGCAUGACACUUAAUGGGCCAGCUCUGGCAGUGCAAGGGACAGACACACCACAUUGAAUUGAAUGCCCAGCGUGUUUUCCCAAAAGUGGGUUGGGCUGACUGGGUUAGAUGAUAUUGUUUUAAUUUUAUAUGGUAUGACAAUUUAAUCUAAGUCAUCAUGCAUAGUGUACAAUAUUAAAUUAACAUCUUAGGUCAUCAAAUUGCAAGCACUCAGUGUCAUUUCAGAGGGAAUAAACUAUUUUGAGUCUGCAAACGGAUCUAAAUUGCCAGUCAAAAGAAUUAAGUUAAACAUGCAAUGUUUGCAAAAUAUGUAAGGGCAUUAGCAAAAGAGAAAAGCAGAAGAAAAACUGACAGACUAAAUAAAAAUAAAAAUAAAAAUAAAUAAAUUUCCAAAGAAAUCGACACUGGACAGAAAGGGAAAUGACAUCUUCUAAAAUCUGUUUUCAUGUGGUGUGUACAGUCUGUAUGUGAUGUGUGUGUGUGUGUGUGUGUGUGUGUGUGGCUUUUUUGUCAGUGUUUAAAGUGUGCGGUGGCAUUUGACAAUGUAUGCCGUCAUAGUUGAGCUCGUGCUUCAAAGGUUUGGGUGGUGAUUCUAGUUCCUUACUUUGCGGUCUGGGUAGAGCUGGGUGAUAUGAAUUAAAUCAGACGUCGCUUUAUUUUCUAGCGCUAAUGUACAGUAAUUUUGAUGUAACUGUUGAUACUUAAAAAUACAUAAUCUGAACUAGUUAAAUGUCUCCUGCCUAAAAGAUUCAUAAAUAAUGUUUUUAUUAAAAAAAAAAAAAGAUAAAUAAUGUGGCCAAAAUAGUGAAUCAGUUGAAUCUCAUUCAAACAAAAUUAAGAUGAUAUGUAGCCUUAGAGCAAAGUGUCAGUUUUAUAUUUGAUGGUGUCUCCCUGCUCUGAGAUUGAAUAUUUAAAAUAAAUAAAUAAAUUCUAGUAUGUUUUUGACCUUGAUGUUCAUACUGAGAAUAUAUUUUAAAAUUAAAAUAUUUUUAUAGUUAUAUUAGAAUAUUAUUAAUUAUUUAAUUUGAUUAUUAAUUUAUUUUAAAUAUUUUAAAUAUUUUUUAAAAGGAGAAAAAAUAGUCUGUUACUUAUGUUGACAAAGAUAUAGUAAAAAAAAAAAUCAAGCGCAGGCAUUCAAAAAUUAUUUCAGCAGUCAUAUAAUUUCAGUGUAAAAAGGCAAAGACAACAUUUUAUACGUUAAAAUAUGACAAAUCUCACAUAGUAUGUUGUGUCACAUAAUGAUGUCAGUAUUAGAGCUAAUUUAUUGGUCAGUCCGAAGAAAAGAUCUGCAACAAUUUUGAUAAUUGUCUAAUUGUUCAAGUAAUUUUUUAUACAAAUAGAUAUGCAGAAAAUUCAGAUUUAAUCUUAAAUGUAAAUGCUGGUUUUCGUGUAGUCCGCCUUGAUAAUAAAAUAAAUAAAAUAUUUAUAGUGUUAAGACCUUUGGUUGGGUGAAAUAAAAAUGUUACCUCACGUUCUGAAAACUUUUCAUAUACUAAAUGAAUAAUUCUUUAAUCAAGAAAGUAACUGUCGGAUGAAGGGCAGAGUCAAUAUUAUAUUCAUAGUAUUAUAUUACAGUAUCUCCCAGCACUACCUAUUGUAUCUGAGUCUUUGUGUGUGAGCACGCACCAGUCAACCGUGUGACUGGGGGUGUGUGUGUGUGUGUGGAAGGCUGCUGGGCUGGGUGGAGGCUGUGGGGGUUUACCUGCUGUCAGAGGAGGAUUUCAGCCUGACGCAGCAGGUUUCACCCGUAUCCAACGUGGAGGGGUCCAUCUUUAUGGAGGCCUCUGCUGAGCAGCCAGUUCCCCCAGAAAGGCACAUGGCUCAGGCGGACCUGAAGAACUCAACCUUCUGGCUGAGAGCGAGUGUCGGUGCCACAGUGUUUGCCGUGCUGGGCUUCGCCAUGUACAGAGCACUUCUCAAACAGCGGUGAUCAGACAGCAUGAGAAAGCUACUUCCUCCACUCGGUCCCUCUGUUGACUCUGCCCCUCCCCUCCUACCUGAAAGACUCAAAAAGACUGGCUGACUAACCAACCGGGCCCAUUGCCUCAGCCCACCAACUCCACCUCAUCUCCUUCCCACAAUGCAACACGGGCGAGAAACAAAUGAGCAAAAUCAUAGGUACAUUUUAUAUGCAUUGAAAGUGUGGUUUAGUUUUUUUGUUUUUGUUGUUGGGAAAAGGGGAAGGUUACUUUUGAAAUCACUUGUCCAUCAUUCAAUUUGUAAAUGCUGACAUUCUGUGAUCUGUUGGUCUAGUCUAGUCCAGGUUAGACAUCAUAGAUAUAGAAACGUAGAUACCUCAUUGGCUGCUGGAUCAUGUCAACAUCGCCAACAUAUUAGUCCAGGCAGGCCUGGCCUGUAAACAAAUACAAGUAUACGGGGGAGCUGCAUUAUGUCUGGAUAAAAAAAAGCAUUAUGAUUCUGAUGAGUUGUUUUUAUAUUUAUGGGUUCAUGAUCUACGUAGGGGAAAAAAGUCUCCGGUUACUAAGAAUUUCAGUAGUUAGUCUAUAAUCAGUAUAAUCUGUGAAUGAAAUGACUCUGAUUGGCAGUUCAGCUCAGCACACGAGAAGAGAAACUGAAGUGAGGAAAGUAAACAAAGAGCUUAAGUCAAGAGAGCAUGAGAUCAAAACAAACAUACACAAGAUUAUUUUUCGUUAGCAGAAACGUUUCAUGAUGGUUUGUCUAACUGUUAGCUGACGCACGUCUCUCUGUUCUUUCAACAUUAGAUUUUGUUGUUAAUGUGCAAACUGGCGAACUUGCGUCAAGAUGGUCUUCCAGUUUUCCUUUUUGAAUGACGAAUACAGAUGACCACUGUCUGCCGGUGUGGAGAGUUAUUUCCUCUCACACAGGUGCGGAAUGUACGUGCUUGUUGUCCAUCGGCUGUAGUCUUUGCAGGGUAAUCAUGUGCAAUUUUUUGGCCGAGACAAAUGACGUGAGGUGACACAACAAUUCUUUGACGUGGGUUUGAUAUGUCUGGGCCUUAACGAUCGAUAAUUACCAAAUGAGCUGCACCACUACCUAGCUCCUACCAAAUCCGGCUGGUGCACAGUAUAGGCAACUGAAGAGUAGAAAAUUCACUUCAUUAUCUACUACAAUUACUACACGGUAACCAGUCAAAAUUAUUCUCAGCGGUCUCCCUCAUAGGGACGUCUCCACGAGUAUCAACCAAGAAAAAUAAGCUAAAUCCAUGCUUUAAAAAUAUGAGUUACAAUAAUUCCUUAUGAUGAUGAAUUGUGUUUUUCCACGGCACAAGUAAGUCAGGGUAGGCAGCACGGUGAUGCAGUGGUUUGCAUUGUCGCCUCACAGCCAGAGGGUUCCUGGUUCAAAUUCAAGGUGGGGGGGGGUGGUUGGUUCGAACUCCAGGGUUUGGGAGCCCUUCUGUGUGGAGUUUUCAUGUUCUCCCUGUGUCAGCGUGGGUUUUCUCUGGGUACUCUGGCUUCCUCCCACAGUCCAAAGACAUGCAGGUUAAUUGGUGACUCUAAAUUGACCGUAGGUGUGAAUGGUUGUCUGUCUCUAUGUGUCAGCCCUGUGAUAGUCUGGUGACCUGUUCAAGGUGUACCCUGCCUCUCACCCAACGUCAGCUGGGAAAGGCUCCAGCACCCCGCGACCCCCAACAGGAUAAGCGGUUACGGAAAAUGAAUGAACAAAUGAAGGAAUUCAGUUCAUGUAUGCCUCACACACACUCCUCUCUUGAGUGUCCAGCAGUGAUUAUAGGCAAACUAUCAAGAUUCUAAUUAACUAGAGACAAAAAAAAAAAUAAAAUAAAAUCAUGAAUAUAAGGUUAUAGUGCUUUUUAUCCAGAAAAACCGCAGCACCCCUGUUUACUUGUAUGUGAUAACAAGCAAGUCUUGCCUUGUCCAAUUUGCCGCCAACUUUGACGUAUCGCAGCAACAAACUGAUGCAGUCACAGCGUCUACGUAUAUAUGUCUAUGGUUAGACACUACUAGUCACUGGAUGUUCUCAGCUGAUCAAUCCUCUUUAUUUCUCAGGUCAGUAUUAUUAGCUAGAUGGUUGGAGACCAGAGAGAGGCAGCCAUAUACAGCAACACCACAAAGGGACUUGAAUCUGUCAUGUGUAUAUGCAGUAUAUUAUGUAUGUAUUCCUUAAGAAUUUUAGGAUUGGACUUCUAGACAGCAUCACAAGCCAGAUGCAACACCCACAGGAGGUGUUGGCGAUACAUCUAACACUAGAAAGGUCAUGAUUGGCAUGCACUUGUUUAUUUUUUUGUGUGUUAAUUUAUUAACCGGUUUCUUUGUUUUCUUGUCUGUUUCUUUUUUUUUUUUUUUUGAGUGCACCGCAUGAAACAGAUGGAGGGAUUUACAUUUUCCAUGUAUUUUUGUAUUUAGUAUUAUCAAAGCUGUCCUCCUGGCGUGUCUUGACUUUCUGCUUCUGUUUUUACUUCUCUGAUUUUCAAAUAGAGCUUCAUCCCUCAUGUUAUAUUUUUAUGAAGUUAGAGGCACCAUAGAAAAAGAGACUAUGCUAUUAACAACAGCCAUUCAGCGCACCUCUCCCACCUUAAAACUAUAAAAGUGUUUCUUCUCAUUCUUCUCUUUUUUUCCCAGCAUUUACAAUAAAGAAUUGUAUGAUCCGGCACAGCCAUGUACGUGCGUUUGAUGGGUGAAAUGACAGCUAAUUUAACAACAAUGAGGAAAAUAAAAUGGUUUUAAAUAUCUGUAAUAAAUGACAUUUA